Long non-coding RNA from Astatotilapia calliptera (eastern happy), 1186 nucleotides. Lineage: Eukaryota; Metazoa; Chordata; Actinopteri; Cichliformes; Cichlidae. The record is from Ensembl.
UGAAUUAAUAAGUAAUAGGCUGUUAAAGGAAAAAGUUUUCUUCCUAUAUUGACACAGGCCCAACAAUCAACAUUUAAUGAAGUUUUAAUGUAGAAUAACUGAGCACUGACACCAGAGAGAGCGAGAGAGAGAUGAUAGAGAGAGAAAGAGGGUGAGAGAGAGAGAGAAUGAGAGAGAGGGAAAAAGAAAAAGAAAAGUUGAUUUUCUUUUUAAAAAUGACCACUGUGUGACCUCUACCCCCUCCAAAUAUUUCUGUUCACUCCUAACUUGCAGAUAGGCUAUAUCAAUUUUUUUUUUUUGUGGGGCUUCACGUUCGGCUGCAUUCAUAAAGAGGAAUUUUUAAGAGCAUGUAAUGCAAUAUUAAUCGCGAUUUGCUGAUAUAAAAUGCAAUAUUUUCAGACAGCUUUCGGGGGUUUCAGGGGAAGCAGGCGGAUGAAGGAAGUCGCUGUUAAAUAGCAGAGAAAGCUGCUCUUUAUUGCUUUUCUUUAGCUUUUGGCUACACGGACAGAAGACAGCGAAUCCUUAAUGUAAGUAAAAUACUUUUUUGUUGAAUUUUUAAGAAAUUUUGUUGGUCAUUUGUAACUUUUUUUCUUUUUUAAAGAUUAGCAUAGACGUAUGUCAUUUUGAAUGAAAAUAUAUAUAUUUUUUCUUCUGCAAUUGCUUUCCCAUUUAAAUUGUAACAGGCCUGCUUCGUGGCGUUCCCCACUGCUAGCCUUAUUCCACUACUUCAUUCGUUCAAUUCUGUUAAACAUAAUUUUGUAAAUCUAAUUUAAAAAUUGAGGAAAAUUGUGAAAAAAAUAAUAAGAAAUUUGUUUUCGUUGUGAGAAUAUUUUUCCAAACGCUGUUCUUUCGCGACACAGACUUUCUAGGGAAAAAGAAAAGAAUGAAUGAAAUGUAAAAAAAAAAAAAAAAAAGCUAUUUGCUCAUUAAGUGAUAUUGCAAAUUUCCUGUUAGAGGUUGCCGCUAUCACAGAGUCCUUUUUGUUGCAUUGUUACGAAAUAGUACAGCUGUUAUAUAUAUAUCUAUAUAUCUAUAUAUAUAUAUGUGUGUGUGUGUGUGUGUGUGUGUGUGUGUGUGUGUGUGUGUGUGUGUGUGUGUGUGUGUGUGUGUGUGUAUAUAUAUGUAUACACAAUGGCUUAAAAGUUUCACCACCUCAUACUAUCUACUGAGAGUAACGCAACACCGC